AUUGAACGCUGGCGGCAUGCCUUACACAUGCAAGUCGAACGGUAACAGGUCUUCGGAUGCUGACGAGUGGCGAACGGGUGAGUAAUACAUCGGAACGUGCCUAGUAGUGGGGGAUAACUACUCGAAAGAGUGGCUAAUACCGCAUGAGAUCUACGGAUGAAAGCAGGGGAUCGCAAGACCUUGUGCUACUAGAGCGGCGGAUGGCAGAGUAGGUAGUUGGUGGGAUAAAAGCUUACCAAGCCGACGAUCUGUAGCUGGUCUGAGAGGACGAUCAGCCACACUGGGACUGAGACACGGCCCAGACUCCUACGGGAGGCAGCAGUGGGGAAUUUUGGACAAUGGGCGCAAGCCUGAUCCAGCAAUGCCGCGUGCAGGAUGAAGGCCUUCGGGUUGUAAACUGCUUUUGUACGGAACGAAAAGCCCCGGGUUAAUACCCUGGGGUCAUGACGGUACCGUAAGAAUAAGCACCGGCUAACUACGUGCCAGCCGCCGCAGUAA
Molecule: ribosomal RNA, 498 nt
Filed under: uncultured bacterium
Lineage: Bacteria
Description: partial 16S ribosomal RNA
Rfam family: Bacterial small subunit ribosomal RNA
Source: RNAcentral